CUCUUGAGAGCGGCGGACGGGUGAGUAAUGCCUAGGAAUCUGCCUGGUAGUGGGGGAUAACGUUCGGAAACGGACGCUAAUACCGCAUACGUCCUACGGGAGAAAGCAGGGGACCUUCGGGCCUUGCGCUAUCAGAUGAGCCUAGGUCGGAUUAGCUAGUUGGUGAGGUAAUGGCUCACCAAGGCGACGAUCCGUAACUGGUCUGAGAGGAUGAUCAGUCACACUGGAACUGAGACACGGUCCAGACUCCUACGGGAGGCAGCAGUGGGGAAUAUUGGACAAUGGGCGAAAGCCUGAUCCAGCCAUGCCGCGUGUGUGAAGAAGGUCUUCGGAUUGUAAAGCACUUUAAGUUGGGAGGAAGGGUUGUAGAUUAAUACUCUGCAAUUUUGACGUUACCGACAGAAUAAGCACCGGCUAACUCUGUGCCAGCAGCCGCGGUAAUACAGAGGGUGCAAGCGUUAAUCGGAAUUACUGGGCGUAAAGCGCGCGUAGGUGGUUUGUUAAGUUGGAUGUGAAAUCCCCGGGCUCAACCUGGGAACUGCAUUCAAAACUGACUGACUAGAGUAUGGUAGAGGGUGGUGGAAUUUCCUGUGUAGCGG
RNAcentral lists this ribosomal RNA (599 nucleotides) under Pseudomonas lactis. Its description in RNAcentral is "bacterial SSU rRNA". It matches the Rfam family "Bacterial small subunit ribosomal RNA", at positions 86 to 681 of the family's 1533-position model. Lineage: Bacteria; Pseudomonadati; Pseudomonadota; Gammaproteobacteria; Pseudomonadales; Pseudomonadaceae. The record is from RNAcentral.